Monodelphis domestica (gray short-tailed opossum) is the source of this 104-nucleotide small nuclear RNA. NCBI's taxonomy places the organism in Eukaryota, Metazoa, Chordata, Mammalia, Didelphimorphia, Didelphidae. The record is from Ensembl.
GUGCUUGCUUCAGCAGCAUAUAUACUAAAAUUAGAAGGAUACACAAAAGAUUAGCACGGCCCUUGUCAAGGAUGACACAAAUUCGCGAAGCAUUCCAUAUUUUA